UUUGGUGUGUAUUUGCAUGUCAGAUCCUUGUUUCGGCANCGAAKGCAUGUCAAUCAUAUCUUUUCAAUUGUUGGUUCAAGUGCAGCUUUGGCUUGGUCUGGAUUGGUUUCUUGUGUUGCAUACCUCUACGAUGGUAAUUGGUCGGCCUAAGUGUUCAAGCUUCUUACAUGCACCAAACCCUUUUUGGGUGUGGUGUGAGUUGGACCAUGAAGCAUGCAUAGUGUUCCACCUCCUAGGACUGUACCGGUUCUUUGGGUUGUUGGCACAUUAUGCAUUUGCUUGAUCUCUUGGAUACGGAAAAUUGAGUGGGUACGAAGCAAGCUCUUGUUUGCUUCUAUUUGCCCUAAAACUAAGCGUUCGACGCUUCUUGCGUACGACUGUUGUUCGUUUUGGUUAGGUCCUUUGGGGCUUGAGUCAUGCGUUAACAACGUCGUUGAGGAA
This 441-nucleotide unclassified non-coding RNA is filed under the name Peplidium sp. Barker 7324. RNAcentral's name for it is "partial external transcribed spacer". Lineage: Eukaryota; Viridiplantae; Streptophyta; Magnoliopsida; Lamiales; Phrymaceae. The record is from RNAcentral.